GGCAUCUGAGUCGGCGCCUCAGUCGGUCGGUGGGGCGGCGGGGGCCUCCUCAGUCGCCGUGUUGAGAGCGCCGUGUCGCGGACUCGCUUGACCUUCUCAAGGUGGCGGCAUAAAAAGCGGAUAAAUCGAGGUGCCCCCUCCGUGCCGGAGAGUGGCAGAAAGGUCCCUGCUGCUUGCCCUGUCCUCGGUGGGCAGAGAGCUCUGACCUCCGCCGGAUGGGCUGCCAAUUCUGAAACGCUCACCAGAGAUCUGCCUGGGAGGAGAAGCAGAGCCAAGCACUGAGAACUGACAAGUGAGCUCCGGUGAGGACUGCCGCUCCCCCUGCCUUGGUGUGGGACCUCCUGAGCUCCCCUUCCUGUGCUGGGAGUGUUUCUCCUCUCAUCCAGCCAAGCCAGAGACCUCCUAGGGAACAAGCAGGGAAGGUUUAAGCACCGAGAUCUCCCAAGUAAGAAGUGACGUGACAAAAGGAAAUGGCCUCAAGUUGCAGCAGGGAAGGCUUAGGUUGGAUUUGAGGAGAAAUUUCUUCACUGGAAGGGUGGUCAGGCCUAGGAGCAGGCUGCCCAGGGAAGCCCCCAUCCCUGGAGACAUUUCAAGGGUGUCCAGAUGUGGUGUUUAGGGACCUGGUUUGGGAGGGGCUUGGCAGUGCUGGGGCAACAGCUGGGCUCAGUGACCUUAGAAGGCUUUGCCAACCUAAAGGAUCCUAUGGUUCUGAACAGCCUUGACCCCUCUGGCUCAAAGACAGCACCUGGAUACGGAGGGAGGGAGGGAAAUCCUCUCUUCACAUGUGCCAGUUCAUCUGUGAAACUCAUCCCGGCAGGACAGCGUGAAGACUGAAAGUGUAAGAAGAUGUGGGGUGCAGUGGAGAAUGUGGCAGGAGCACCCAACACACAAGUGCACGAGUUUUGCUUUUUGCUUGGAUUGAAACUCAGAAGUUGUAAGGAAUUUGGGAAUGAGAUGGGAUGUUUCAGAAGAAGAGGAAGGAGGAGAAGAAGCAGAAAAAAGUAUUGUUACAGUCCUGGCAAAAUCUUUUUGUUCUAGCUAAUAAAAGAAGUUUUAAUGAAAAGGCAAAAAAUGU
Long non-coding RNA from Serinus canaria (Common canary), 1075 nucleotides. RefSeq lists it as uncharacterized. Lineage: Eukaryota; Metazoa; Chordata; Aves; Passeriformes; Fringillidae. The transcript is spliced from 3 exons. The record is from RefSeq and is a predicted model, not a curated record.